RNAcentral lists this ribosomal RNA (1511 nucleotides) under Aequorivita aquimaris. RNAcentral describes it as "16S ribosomal RNA". It matches the Rfam family "Bacterial small subunit ribosomal RNA". Lineage: Bacteria; Pseudomonadati; Bacteroidota; Flavobacteriia; Flavobacteriales; Flavobacteriaceae. The record is from RNAcentral.
UUUGAUCAUGGCUCAGGAUGAACGCUAGCGGCAGGCCUAACACAUGCAAGUCGAGGGGUAGAGGGGUGCUUGCACCCCUUGAGACCGGCGCACGGGUGCGUAACGCGUAUGCAACCUACCUAUUGCAGGGGAAUAGCCCAGGGAAACUUGGAUUAAUGCCCCAUAGUCCAUAUUGAGAGCAUUCGAUAUAUGGUAAAGAUUUAUCGGCAAUAGAUGGGCAUGCGUCCCAUUAGCUAGUUGGUAUGGUAACGGCAUACCAAGGCAACGAUGGGUAGGGGCCCUGAGAGGGGGAUCCCCCACACUGGUACUGAGACACGGACCAGACUCCUACGGGAGGCAGCAGUGAGGAAUAUUGGACAAUGGGCGGGAGCCUGAUCCAGCCAUGCCGCGUGCAGGAAGACUGCCCUAUGGGUUGUAAACUGCUUUUUUACGGGAAGAAACACCCCCACGUGUGGGGGCUUGACGGUACCGUACGAAUAAGGACCGGCUAACUCCGUGCCAGCAGCCGCGGUAAUACGGAGGGUCCGAGCGUUAUCCGGAAUCAUUGGGUUUAAAGGGUCCGUAGGCGGGCGUCUAAGUCAGUGGUGGAAAUCCCGCAGCUCAACUGUGGAAUUGCCAUUGAUACUGGUCGCCUUGAAUUAGUGUGAAGUGGCUAGAAUAUGUAGUGUAGCGGUGAAAUGCUUAGAUAUUACAUAGAAUACCGAUUGCGAAGGCAGGUCACUAACACUAUAUUGACGCUGAUGGACGAAAGCGUGGGGAGCGAACAGGAUUAGAUACCCUGGUAGUCCACGCCGUAAACGAUGGAUACUAGCUGUCCGGCCUGCAUUGGUAGGCUGGGUGGCCAAGCGAAAGUGAUAAGUAUCCCACCUGGGGAGUACGUUCGCAAGAAUGAAACUCAAAGGAAUUGACGGGGGCCCGCACAAGCGGUGGAGCAUGUGGUUUAAUUCGAUGAUACGCGAGGAACCUUACCAGGGCUUAAAUGUAGUCUGACAGGGGUGGAAACACCCCCUUCUUCGGACAGACUGCAAGGUGCUGCAUGGUUGUCGUCAGCUCGUGCCGUGAGGUGUCAGGUUAAGUCCUAUAACGAGCGCAACCCCUGUCGUUAGUUGCCAGCAUGUAAAGAUGGGAACUCUAACGAGACUGCCGGUGCAAACCGUGAGGAAGGUGGGGAUGACGUCAAAUCAUCACGGCCCUUACGUCCUGGGCCACACACGUGCUACAAUGGCAGGUACAAUGGGCAGCCACGCCGCAAGGCGGAGCGAAUCCACAAAACCUGUCUCAGUUCGGAUCGGGGUCUGCAACUCGACCCCGUGAAGCUGGAAUCGCUAGUAAUCGGAUAUCAGCCAUGAUCCGGUGAAUACGUUCCCGGGCCUUGUACACACCGCCCGUCAAGCCAUGGAAGCUGGAAGCACCUGAAGUCCGUCACCGCGAGGAGCGGCCUAGGGUGAAGCUGGUAACUGGGGCUAAGUCGUAACAAGGUAGCCGUACCGGAAGGUGCGGCUGGAACACCU